RNAcentral lists this ribosomal RNA (1666 nucleotides) under human gut metagenome. Its description in RNAcentral is "bacterial LSU rRNA". It matches the Rfam family "Bacterial large subunit ribosomal RNA", at positions 811 to 2483 of the family's 2925-position model. The record is from RNAcentral.
GUGGGUAGCGGUGAAAUUCCAAACGAACUUGGAGAUAGCUGGUUCUCUCCGAAAUCUCUUUAGGGGGAGCCUCGAGGUUUAGAAUCAUGGAGGUAGAGCACUGUUUGGACUAGGGGCCCGUCAUGGGUUACUGACUUCAGAUAAACUCCGAAUGCCAUUGAUUUUUACUCGGGAGUCACACGGUGAGUGAUAAGAUCCAUCGUGGAAAGGGGAACAGCCCAGAUCAUCAGCUAAGGUCCCUAAAUAUAUGCUAAGUGGAAAAGGAUGUGGAAUUGCACAGACAACUAGGAUGUUGGCUCAGAAGCAGCCAUCAUUUAAAGAGUGCGUAAUAGCUCACUAGUCGAGUGACUCUGCGCCGAAAAUGUACCGGGGCUAAGCAUAUUACCGAAGCUAUGGAUGCAUCCAUCAGGAUGCGUGGUAGGAGAGCGUUCCAAGGGCGAUGAAGUCAGACCGUAAGGACUGGUGGAGCGCUUGGAAGUGAGAAUGCCGGUAUGAGUAGCGAAAGACAGGUGAGAAUCCUGUCCACCGAAUGACUAAGGUUUCCUGGGGAAGGCUCGUCCUCCCAGGGUUAGUCGGGACCUAAGUCGAGGCCGAGAGGCGUAGACGAUGGACAACAGGUUGAUAUUCCUGUACCAGUUGAUUGUGCUUGAGUGAUGGAGUGACGCAGAAGGCUAAGCGAUCCGGACGAUUGGAAGUGUCCGGCCAAGCAGCAAGUCAGUUGAUGAGUCAAAUGCUUAUCAGCGGGUUGACAAGCUGUGACGGGGAGCGAAAUUAUAGUAGCGAAGUCGUUGAUGUCACGCUGCCGAGAAAAGCUUCUAGCGAAUAAUCAACUGCCCGUACCGCAAACCGACACAGGUAGUCGAGGAGAGUAUCCUAAGGUGAGCGAGCGAACUCUCGUUAAGGAACUCGGCAAAAUGACCCCGUAACUUCGGGAGAAGGGGUGCUGAUCGCAAGAUCAGCCGCAGUGAAAAGGCCCAGGCGACUGUUUAUCAAAAACACAGGUUUCUGCAAAAUCGUAAGAUGAAGUAUAGGGGCUGACGCCUGCCCGGUGCUGGAAGGUUAAAAGGAAGAGUUAGCUUCGGCGAAGCCCUGAAUUGAAGCCCCAGUAAACGGCGGCCGUAACUAUAACGGUCCUAAGGUAGCGAAAUUCCUUGUCGGGUAAGUUCCGACCCGCACGAAAGGCGUAACGAUCUGGGCACUGUCUCAACGAGAGACUCGGUGAAAUUGAAUUGCCUGUGAAGAUGCAGGCUACCCGCGACAGGACGGAAAGACCCCAUGGAGCUUUACUGUAGCUUGAUAUUGAGUGCUUGUACUGCUUGUACAGGAUAGGUAGGAGCCAUAGAAGCCAGGACGCUAGUUUUGGCAGAGGCGUUGGUGGGAUACUACCCUUGCAUUAUGAUCACUCUAACCCGCACCACUGAUCGUGGUGGGAGACAGUGUCAGGUGGGCAGUUUGACUGGGGCGGUCGCCUCCCAAAAGAUAACGGAGGCGCCCAAAGGUUCGCUCAGAAUGGUUGGAAAUCAUUCGCAGAGUGUAAAGGCACAAGCGAGCUUGACUGCGAGACAGACAGGUCGAGCAGGGACGAAAGUCGGGCUUAGUGAUCCGGUGGUUCCGCAUGGAAGGGCCAUCGCUCAACGGAUAAAAGCUACCCUGGGGAUAACAGGCU